This 2749-nucleotide long non-coding RNA is filed under the name Manacus vitellinus (golden-collared manakin). RNAcentral describes it as "lncRNA (ENSMVIG00005010066.1)". Lineage: Eukaryota; Metazoa; Chordata; Aves; Passeriformes; Pipridae. The record is from RNAcentral.
AAAUGACAGCUAUGCGUGAAGAUCUCCAGAAAGGGCAGGAAUACACAAAUUGUCUUUUUCAGCUGCUCAGAGAAGACCUGAACAAGGAACAGGGAAAGACAGAAAAGAAAAAUACCCCAAAUCCUCAGGGAUCCGGGAGUGAGGAGACCCUUCUGCAGUUCUGCAAACAAAUGAAAACUAUGUGUGAAGAUCUCCAGAAAGGGCAGGAAUCCACAAAGCAGGAUAUUCAGCUGCUCAGAGCAGACCUGAACAAAGAACUAGACAGGAAAAUGAAGAAAAUGGCAAAGGCCCAGGAAUCCAAGAUGGACAAGAAACUCCAGCAGCUCUUCCAGAGAAUUCUGGAACGUGAAUUACAUGGGAUGCAGCACAUCCUUCAGCUCCCCAGAGCAGAAAUGGAGAUAGAACAAGGUGAGCAGGGCCAUUCCCAAGCACUUCCAUCUCUCUCAACACCAAAGCUGCACUACAGGCAAACCACCCUGAGAGCUCGUCCUGCACAGCUCCUCAAAGGGGAUGGAGAAGGACGGCCCUGACAUGGGGAGAGGCCCAGAGAAGCUGCCUUCAGUCCUGGGAAUCACCACCACAAUCCAUCCCGUGACUAAAGGCCACUUCUCUGGGCCUCUGCACACGAGGAACAAACAGCUUUUGUGAUCCGUGACACUGAAACAGCUCCAUGCUGAAGUGUUCCCUGCAGGGGGUCAAGGCCCCUCUUCUCUCCCUUGUCUUUGAGGGCAGUGAGGACAGCUCUGACCCGAUGGGUGCUAAAGGUGUCCACUGCCAGUCCUCCCACGCACUCACCUUCCUCAUGACAGAGGGUUGUCUCCCAUGGCCCACGGAUGCUGUCUGCAGACAUGGAGGGGGAUGAUCCCUACCCCCCAUCCUGCCCCCCAGGCCUUUGCCAAGGCCUCAGGAAGGCUCACAGGGCCUGGGCUCUUUCCCCAGCCCUGCUGCACUCAACCCAUCCAAGCAAUUCAAGGAACCUGGUCAGGAAUAAGGGCAGGCACCAGUCCAGGCUCAGGGCUGACCCUCUGGCAAGCAGCUGUGCAGAGAAGGCCCUGGGGGUUCUGGUGGACAGAGAGCUGGCCAAGGGUCAGCAAUGGCCAAGAAGGCCCAAGGCUGCCUGGGCUGCCUUCGGAAGAGCUUUGCCAGCAGGCCAAGGGAGGAGCAGCCCUGGUGAGGCCCAUCUGGAGUGCUGUGUCCAGUGCUGGGUUCCUCAGUACAAGGGAAACAUGGAGCUCCUGCAGCGGGUCCAGCUGAGGCUGCAGAGAUGAUCAGGGGCUGGAGAGGCUGAGGGAGCUGGGCCUGUUUAGUCUGGAGAAGAGAAGUCUGAGAGGGGACGUCAUCAGUGGACACAAGUGUUUGAAGGGUCAGGAGGAUGGAGCCAGGCUCUUCUGGGUGGUGCUGAGUGACAGGAUGGGAGGCAAUGGGCAGAAAGGGAAACAAAGCAAUUUCCACCUGAACACGAGGAAGAACUUCAUUACUGUGAGGGUGACUCAGCACUGGGACCAGUUCCUAGAGAGAUUGUGGAGAUAUCCUUGGAGAUAUUCAAAAUCCCUGGAGGAGGUUCUGGCCACCCAGCUCCAGGUGUCCCAUCUGGGUUGGACCAGAUGGUCUCUGGAGGUCCCUUGCAACCUCUCCUUGUCUGUGUUUCUGUGAUUCUGUACAGGGCACGAGACAUCUGAAAACACAAGUUUCAGAACCUACGAAGUCAGAUGUAGCUGGAUCUCUACCCAGUUCCUGUGUGUGUUUAAUUUUCACUUCCUCUUGGCUCUUUAAUCUUUUGCAGGUGUGCUGAUAGAAAGUGCAUCAGAAGAUGAGGGCACUGAUGUAGAUGCAUAGACAACUCCUGAGCAGGUGAAGCAUUGAUCAACAAAAUUAGUCUGGCUCUCAUUACAUUUCUCUUGAGCUUGGCCCCCCACCCCCUGCACUCCCUGGGCUCGCUGUGUUGGGAAGUGCUCAUGCUGCCAGAAGACAGACAAUUGUUAGGGCUUUUCUCCCUCCUGUGAGCUGGUUCCUCCUGUGCCAGGGCAGAUCCAUCCACUGCCCGGUUUCAACAAGUGAAAGCAACAGCAGCCAAAGUGCAACCCAGAGCAGAGCUGAAUUACCCAGCGAGCUCUACACAAAAUCUCAGGCAGAGUCCUGGGAAUCCUGGAUUUUAAGUGGUUUAACAUUUUGUGUGUGUGAAGAAUCUGGGAUGUACAGCAGUGGGGAACCAUUUCACCCGGAGAAUGAAGUGUUCAGUUGCAAUCCUGAUUUUUCUGUGACAUGUUUACUACACUCGCAUUACCUGUCUUCUUUCCUGCUUCUGUUUUUAGUUAAUGUGUACAGCACAAGUGUAGAAUUAGCAUGUUCCUCCUGAGGCCGGGGCAACACCUGUCUUCCAAGGGUGCCUGUGCCCUGCGCAGGCAGAGGAGUUCCCUUAGAGUAAGAGAACCACCACUGUGCCCCGCUAGUUGGGCACCAUCUGUCACAGUCGCAGGGGAGAGAAGCCGCGACAGCCGGGGGUUCGUGCAGAGUGGUAGCUCGAAGCUAUUGCAGCCUUAUUAGGGUGUGCCACCCCUAUUUAUAGGGCGGCAGGAGAAGGUUCCAGAAACCAGGGAGGAGCAUAGGACAGGCAGGGACAUGGACCAGUCAGAAGGGAAAGGAGGGAAUAAGGGAGAAAUAGGAGCCAAUAAGGAAAACAUCUGCAAUGCAGCAGAUUGCAGCCAGUCAGAAAAUAGGUAAUAAACAUGAGGAGAAAACUGUGAAAACA